Molecule: small RNA, 553 nt
Filed under: Pan troglodytes (chimpanzee)
Lineage: Eukaryota; Metazoa; Chordata; Mammalia; Primates; Hominidae
Description: processed transcript
Source: RNAcentral
GGGCUGGACUGUGCUGCUGACCAACCUGAGAACCUGGCAGAAGGUACCCUGGUUAUUGUGGUAUUGAUGCCACCUGAACAACUGCUCCAGGAUGCUCGCAGCUUCUUGCGGGCACUGGGUACCCUGCUGCACACCAACCUGCGCAUUAAGCGGGACUCCCAGGGGGAACUCAUGGUGUACCCCUAUUAUGGUGAGAAGUCAGCUGCUAUGAAGAAACAGAGGAUGACACGCAGGUCCCUUCCUGGUGAACAAGAACAGGAGGUGGCUGGCUCUAAAGUCUUUCUGGAAAUUGACAACCGCCAGUGUGUUCAAGACUCAGACCACUGCUUCAAGAACACGGAUGCAGCAGCAGCUCUCCUGGCCUCUCACGCCAUACAGGGGACCCUGUCAUACCCUCUUGUGUCUGUCGUCAGUGAGUGGCACUGGUGUAAAGGGGAAAGGUGGCGGGGGGAGAGUGUCAAUUGGGGGAACAAUUUUCAUUAUGUAGCCCUCUAUUUUUUCAGGACUGUUGAGGUCAAAGUUGCCCUCUAAAUGAAUCUAAUGCUGACAUUGA